Long non-coding RNA from Oncorhynchus tshawytscha (Chinook salmon), 485 nucleotides. NCBI's taxonomy places the organism in Eukaryota, Metazoa, Chordata, Actinopteri, Salmoniformes, Salmonidae. The record is from Ensembl.
GCUAUAUACAGGGGGUACCGGUACAGAGUCAAUGUGGAGGCUAUAUACAGGGGGUACCAGUACAGAGUCAAUGUGGAGGCUAUAUACAGGGGGUACCGGUACAGAGUCAAUGUGGAGGCUAUAUACAGGGUGUACCGGUACAGAGUCAAUGUGGAGGCUAUAUACAGGGGGUACCAGUACAGAGUCAAUGUGGAGGCUAUAUACAGGGUGUACCGGUACAGAGUCAAUGUGGAGGCUAUAUACAGGGGGUACCGGUACAGAGUCAAUGUGGAGGCUAUAUACAGGGGGUACCGGUACAGAGUCAAUGUGGAGGCUAUAUACAGGGGGUACCGGUACAGAGUCAAUGUGGAGGCUAUAUACAGGGGGUACCGGUACAGAGUCAAUGUGGAGGCUAUAUACAGGGUAUUACGGCACAGAGUCAAUGUGGAGGCUAUAUACAGGGGGUACCGGUACAGAGUCAAUGUGGAGGCGAUAUACAGGGGGUA